AAUGCGGGUGCUAUACAUGCAAGUCGAACGAACUCUGGUAUUGAUUGGUGCUUGCAUCAUGAUUUACAUUUGAGUGAGUGGCGAACUGGUGAGUAACACGUGGGAAACCUGCCCAGAAGCGGGGGAUAACACCUGGAAACAGAUGCUAAUACCGCAUAACAACUUGGACCGCAUGGUCCGAGUUUGAAAGAUGGCUUCGGCUAUCACUUUUGGAUGGUCCCGCGGCGUAUUAGCUAGAUGGUGGGGUAACGGCUCACCAUGGCAAUGAUACGUAGCCGACCUGAGAGGGUAAUCGGCCACAUUGGGACUGAGACACGGCCCAAACUCCUACGGGAGGCAGCAGUAGGGAAUCUUCCACAAUGGACGAAAGUCUGAUGGAGCAACGCCGCGUGAGUGAAGAAGGGUUUCGGCUCGUAAAACUCUGUUGUUAAAGAAGAACAUAUCUGAGAGUAACUGUUCAGGUAUUGACGGUAUUUAACCAGAAAGCCACGGCUAACUACGUGCCAGCAGCCGCGGUAAUACGUAGGUGGCAAGCGUUGUCCGGAUUUAUUGGGCGUAAAGCGAGCGCAGGCGGUUUUUUAAGUCUGAUGUGAAAGCCUUCGGCUCAACCGAAGAAGUGCAUCGGAAACUGGGAAACUUGAGUGCAGAAGAGGACAGUGGAACUCCAUGUGUAGCGGUGAAAUGCGUAGAUAUAUGGAAGAACACCAGUGGCGAAGGCGGCUGUCUGGUCUGUAACUGACGCUGAGGCUCGAAAGUAUGGGUAGCAAACAGGAUUAGAUACCCUGGUAGUCCAUACCGUAAACGAUGAAUGCUAAGUGUUUGGAGGGUUUCCGCCCUUCAGUGCUGCAGCUAACGCAUUAAGCAUUCCGCCUGGGGAGUACGGCCGCAAGGCUGAAACUCAAAGGAAUUGACGGGGGCCCGCACAAGCGGUGGAGCAUGUGGUUUAAUUCGAAGCUACGCGAAGAACCUUACCAGGUCUUGACAUACUAUGCAAAUCUAAGAGAUUAGACGUUCCCUUCGGGGACAUGGAUACAGGUGGUGCAUGGUUGUCGUCAGCUCGUGUCGUGAGAUGUUGGGUUAAGUCCCGCAACGAGCGCAACCCUUAUUAUCAGUUGCCAGCAUUAAGUUGGGCACUCUGGUGAGACUGCCGGUGACAAACCGGAGGAAGGUGGGGAUGACGUCAAAUCAUCAUGCCCCUUAUGACCUGGGCUACACACGUGCUACAAUGGAUGGUACAACGAGUUGCGAACUCGCGAGAGUAAGCUAAUCUCUUAAAGCCAUUCUCAGUUCGGAUUGUAGGCUGCAACUCGCCUACAUGAAGUCGGAAUCGCUAGUAAUCGCGGAUCAGCAUGCCGCGGUGAAUACGUUCCCGGGCCUUGUACACACCGCCCGUCACACCAUGAGAGUUUGUAACACCCAAAGUCGGUGGGGUAACCUUUUAGGAACCAGCCGCCUAAGGUGGGACAGAUGAUUAGGGUGAAGUCGAACAAGAGCUGGCA
RNAcentral lists this ribosomal RNA (1499 nucleotides) under Lactiplantibacillus plantarum. RNAcentral describes it as "bacterial SSU rRNA". It matches the Rfam family "Bacterial small subunit ribosomal RNA". The record is from RNAcentral. Lineage: Bacteria; Bacillati; Bacillota; Bacilli; Lactobacillales; Lactobacillaceae.